Long non-coding RNA from Salvelinus fontinalis (brook trout), 1775 nucleotides. RefSeq lists it as uncharacterized. The record is from RefSeq and is a predicted model, not a curated record. The transcript is spliced from 2 exons. Lineage: Eukaryota; Metazoa; Chordata; Actinopteri; Salmoniformes; Salmonidae.
UUUUUAUUUUUAUUUUACUGUUAUUUUACCAGGUAAGUUGACUGAGAACACGUUCUCAUUUGCAGCAACGACCUGGGGAAUAGUUACAGGGGAGAGGAGGGGGAUGAAUGAGCCAAUUGUAAACUGGGGAUUAUUAGGUGACCAUGAUGGUUUGAGGGCCAGAUUGGGAAUUUAGCCAGGACACCGGGGUUAACACCCCUACUCUUACGAUAAGUGCCAUGGGAUCUUUAAUGACCUCAGAGAGUCAGGACACCCGUUUAACGUCCCAUCCGAAAGACGGCACCCUACACAGGGCAGUGUCCCCAAUCACUGCCCUGGGGCAUUGGGAUAUUUUUUAGACCAGAGGAAAGAGUGCCUCCUACUGGCCCUCCAACACCACUUCCAGCAGCAUCUGGUCUCCCAUCCAGGGACUGACCAGGACCAACCCUGCUUAGCUUCAGAAGCAAGCCAGUAGUGGUAUGCAGGGUGGUAUGCUGCUGGCUAAAGUGUAGCCUAUGGAGGGCUUGUGUUUUGGGUAAAGGGUAGCCUAUGGAGGCCUUGUGUUUUGGGUAAAGGGUAGCCUAUGGAGGGCUUGUGUUUUGGGUAAAGGGUAGCCUAUGGAGGGCUUGUGUUUUGAACAUAUGAAACGGAAAACACGAUAUUGUUACAGGAUCAUAACUUCUAAAUACGAGGUAUUCACUGAGGUUCUCAUAUCUAGUUUCAUGAUGGGCCUGGACACAUGUAGCCUACAUGAUGGAGUGUUUUUACUCACGCCCAAAACGGAGCUACAUGGCUAAAAUAAUGUAGGCCUGCCUACAAUAUAAAAAGGGCAGCAAAUGUCAGCUCACUAUUUUUCUCCUCUGAAACUUGAUAUUUUAACUUAAUAAAGCAUUGGUGAUUAAGAUGUAUUUAGAGUCGGACUCACGAGCCAAACAAACCCUUCAUCGACAGUCUUGACUACUGGCAAAUGCAUUGGGCAGGACAAAAACAAUUAAAUAUAGCCUCCCCUCCUCUCAAUAAAGGUCAUGUUUAGUUUUUAAUCACGUAAAACAAAACGGGAAAAACAUUAUUUUUUGUUUGUUUAUAAAUAUAGAGUAGCCUAUACAGGCACCUAAAGCACAUGACUGUGGCGCAUAUGGGCAGUGUGCAUCAGGACUGGAUAGGCUCUGCUUCCACUGUCAUAAUUCAUGCCAUAAUAGUGCUAAAACCAGCUUCUGGUUGGUAUUACAUUUACUUACAUUACUACCAGAGCUGGCUGAAAUUAGCACUUAUCACGAUUUUAAGGACACACCUCAAAUAUUUACACCCCUCCCAUCUGAGCGCAAGUGAGCUGAUAUGAGACAGGUAAAUGAUCAAUCCUUGCGCAAAAGUUUGAAAACAGCAGAUCGCUGGUGUCACGAAUCCCGCUUCCUGAGUCUGGGUUUGCCUGUGUGUCUGUCCUGGAGUGUGUUUCAGGUGUCCUGGAACGCACCCUGUCUGGUUGCCGGGCGAAUUAGCUCAUUGGGAGAUUGAUUUCACCCGCACCUGUUUCCCGUCAGUAAUCUGCACACCUGUCCUGAUCAUCAUCUCUACCCUUCAAAAGCUCUGACCUGACUUCCAUUCCCUGCCGGAUCGUUAGCCAUGAACAUUACUCACCUGGAUCAUUCACUCCAUUCCCGCCUGGUUGACAGAGGAUUCUACUACUACAUUGGAUUCACCUAUUUCCUCUCAUCUACUCACCACCGCUGCCCGCUACGCCAUCUGGAUAUAUCUACCUUUUCACAUUUCACUGUAAAUAAAUACUCACCUUCUUCCUA